GNUGACGCUGGCGGCAGGCCUAAACAUGCAAGUCGAGCGGUAACAUUUCUAGCUUGCUAGAAGAUGACGAGCGGCGGACGGGUGAGUAAUGCUUGGGAACAUGCCUUUAGGUGGGGGACAACCAUUGGAAACGAUGGCUAAUACCGCAUAAUGUCUACGGACCAAAGGGGGCUUCGGCUCUCGCCUUUAGAUUGGCCCAAGUGGGAUUAGNUAGUUGGUGAGGUAAUGGCUCACCAAGGCGACGAUCCCUAGCUGGUUUGAGAGGAUGAUCAGCCACACUGGAACUGAGACACGGUCCAGACUCCUACGGGAGGCAGCAGUGGGGAAUAUUGCACAAUGGGCGCAAGCCUGAUGCAGCCAUGCCGCGUGUGUGAAGAAGGCCUUCGGGUUGUAAAGCACUUUCAGUUGUGAGGAAAGGUUAGUAGUUAAUACCUGCUAGCUGUGACGUUAGCAACAGAAGAAGCACCGGCUAACUCCGUGCCAGCCAGCCGCGGUAAUACGGAGGGUGCGAGCGUUAAUCGGAAUUACUGGGCGUAAAGCGUACGCAGGCGGUUUGUUAAGCGAGAUGUGAAAGCCCCGGGCUCAACCUGGGAACUGCAUUUCGAACUGGCAAACUAGAGUGUGAUAGAGGGUGGUAGAAUUUCAGGUGUAGCGGUGAAAUGCGUAGAGAUCUGAAGGAAUACCGAGGCGAAGGCAGCCACCUGGGCAACACUGACGCUCAUGACGAAAGCGUGGGACAAC
RNAcentral lists this ribosomal RNA (741 nucleotides) under Pseudoalteromonas sp. NBF24. RNAcentral describes it as "bacterial SSU rRNA". It matches the Rfam family "Bacterial small subunit ribosomal RNA", at positions 28 to 773 of the family's 1533-position model. Lineage: Bacteria; Pseudomonadati; Pseudomonadota; Gammaproteobacteria; Alteromonadales; Pseudoalteromonadaceae. The record is from RNAcentral.